AUUGCAACCAACUUACGAUUUAAAACUCAUUACCAGAUGUCGCUAGUGUCACCCUUGUUGUUUUGCAUCGUCAUCGUCAACAUUCUUAUACCAAAUUGAACUUCGUAACUUGUAUGCAUACUGUCAGUCAUUCCAAAAAGUUGACUUAGCGCUCAGUCACUUUCCAUCCAAUAGACCCAUCAUGUUGUCAAAUCCUAAAACUAAUGUGUGAAGCUCACAUAUCGUGGAAUACAAAUGUGUGGAGACAAGGUAUUUCCCCAUUACUGCUACCACACCAACCACACCAAACCAUCCGCCUUACUAAAUUCAGCACCAUUCACCCACAUGAUAAAGGAAAUUUACCUCAACCUAAGGAGUAAGGCUGUUGGUUGCUGUGAUUUCCAUUUUUACGGUUUUUUAUCAUGAAAACUUCAGUGUGCUUGUUAGUAUAGAGCACAUAAUAGAUCCUUAAGCCAAUGCUGACCUUUGCCCAUGAAGGAAGAGGGACAUCCAGCAACGUUCUGCUCCAUCCUUAUCUUCCCGACGUACACUCAUCUAGCUUCACUGCUUUUGCUGCUACAACUUGUCUUAUUACUUCACCGACGAGUUGGAACACUUCAGUGGUUGCUACCCUUUGCUGUUACACACCUGGAGUUACUCACCACGGGAUUAUGCCCAGGUAAUACAGAGGAAAUUUCGAGAAGAUGGACACCAUAACG
RNAcentral lists this long non-coding RNA (698 nucleotides) under Daphnia pulicaria. RNAcentral's name for it is "uncharacterized LOC124314306, transcript variant X2". The record is from RNAcentral. Lineage: Eukaryota; Metazoa; Arthropoda; Branchiopoda; Diplostraca; Daphniidae.